Molecule: ribosomal RNA, 428 nt
Filed under: uncultured bacterium
Lineage: Bacteria
Description: bacterial SSU rRNA
Rfam family: Bacterial small subunit ribosomal RNA
Source: RNAcentral
UGGGGAAUAUUGCGCAAUGGGGGAAACCCUGACGCAGCGACGCCGCGUGUGGGAUGAAGGUCUUCGGAUUGUAAACCACUGUCGCGAGGGACGAAGCUCUGACGGUACCUCGAAAGGAAGCACCGGCUAACUACGUGCCAGCAGCCGCGGUAAUACGUAGGGUGCGAGCGUUAAUCGGAAUUACUGGGCGUAAAGCGUGCGCAGGCGGCUCCUUAAGUCAGAUGUGAAAUCCCCGGGCUUAACCUGGGAACUGCGUUUGAAACUGGGGAGCUAGGGUGUGGAAGAGGGGGUGGAAUUCCAGGUGUAGCAGUGAAAUGCGUAGAGAUCUGGAGGAACACCGAUGGCGAAGGCAGCCCCCUGGGCUAACACUGACGCUCAUGCACGAAAGCGUGGGGAGCAAACAGGAUUAGAUACCCGAGUAGUCCCUG